This is a non-coding RNA of Camellia sinensis, 1738 nucleotides long. The record is from RefSeq and is a predicted model, not a curated record. Lineage: Eukaryota; Viridiplantae; Streptophyta; Magnoliopsida; Ericales; Theaceae.
GGAAACCGCUGGGGCAGAUUAUAACUAUCCCAACUGGCCAUCAUUCCCGGCCCCAGAUGAUUUUUAAAAAUUCGUUGACUAUGCAUGUAACAUAUAUGUAUCCAAGUCUCACCUGUAUCAGUUACAAUUACCAUUUGAGCCCAAAUCCCUAUUUCUAUUGAUGGACUAUCAAACCCUUUUCUAUCUCACCACCAAAACCCUAGUUUUGUCUAAAAAAUGGCGGAUCAGAUCGAGCUCAAUCGAACCUCUCUUCCCCUUCCCUAUCAGCUUCAGGCGAAGAGGAAGGGCUCCGGAGUGAGGACCUGGUUUGUCGUCUCAAAAUUGGGGAACUCUCGAAUUGAAGAGCUUGGGAAGCAAGCGAUCAUUCUGAGGAGUGGAGUUCAGGCUCAUGAUUUGAGGGUUUUUGAACCAGAGCUCUCGAACCCCUCUGCCAUUCUCCGAAGGGAGAGGGCUAUUGUUGUGAACUUGUAACAUAUUAAAGCGAUUAUAACUGCGAAUGAAGUUCUGGUACCAAACCCUAAAGACCCUUUUAUGGGUUCAUUUGUUUGUGAUCUCGAAUUCAAGCUCUCUGAUUUUGGUGCCAAUAUGGUAAGCAAUAAAGCUAUGGAGCAAUCACUCUCUAAUAUGCCACCAGAGGCAAGUGAUAGGAGUCAUAAAUCACCAACUGAAUGGUCAAAUAGGGGCAACUCAAAGCCAUUACCAUUUGAGUUCAGAGCUUUUGAGAUUUGCCUAGAAUCUGUCUGCAGGAGCCUUGAAUCUGAGACUUCCACAUUAGAAGAAGAAGCAUAUCCGGCUUUAGAUGAGCUAUCAGCUAAAACCAGUACGCUUAAUCUCAAACACGUGAGAGUCAUAAAAGGUCGUUUGGUUGCUUUGUCUGGGCGUGUGCAGAAGGUGAGGAGUUUGAACAUCUACUGGAUGAUGACUUAGAUAUGGCUCAAAUGUACUUGACUGAUAGGCUUGCCACCUUGCAAUCUGAAGGUUUAGAAGAUGAACUAGAGAAUGAUGCAAAUGCAUUUAAAUCGGGCAAUGAUAGGUUUGAUCUUGAUUUUGCCCGAUAAAUCUCAUAGUCUAAUUUGAACCCUGUCUAGUGAUGAGGACAUGAGCGGCAAAAGCAGUAAUAUAGAUGUAAGUGAUCUCAAACCAAAUGUUGAAGAGUUGGAAAUGCUAUUGGGAGCCUACUCUGUGCAAAUAGAAGGAAUAUUAAACAAACUAUCGACACUGCGCGAAUACAUCCACAACACAGAGGACUACAUCAACAUCGUAUUGGAUGACAAACAGAAUCAACUCCUGCGAAUGGGCAUAAUUAUUACUACAGGAGCUGUGAUGCUCAACUCAGGGGUUGUGGCUUUAGGUUUCUUGAGCACUAACAUCAACAUUCCUCUCUUUACUUCUGGAACCUUUGUACAGUAGUGUGGGGCUGCUAGGGGUAUAAUUGCUUGUUCGAUUGCUUUAUUUGCCAUAAUCAUCCUAUUGUUCAAAUGGUUAAAGCUUCUUGGUUGAGGACUAACUAACUUCUCAUGAGUGGUCAGAUACAACAAUAUCUGCUACAAAUAUAUCAUUAUCUAUCUCCAAAUCAGAUACAAUUAAAUAAUCUUUGGAUCUUGUGUAUCAUAUAAGAGGGUAUGUUUAGUGACAUAUGUGAAGCCUCUAGCAUAUUUUGAAUUUUUUUUUUCUUUUCCUUCUCUGUACUGAGGUUAUGUAUGUAAAAUGAUAUCAAACCCAUAACUAAAAUAUCUAA